CAGGCGACGAAUGCCACUGAACCUUGACUCCCUCUGCACCUGCCGCAUCAAUGGUCAAUAAAUGUACGAUACAGCACCUCUCCAAUCAACUUGAGAAAGAUCCCCCAUAAAAAGCGCACUUCAAAAUGUCGAAAGCUAUUCAUUGCCAACGUUCAUUCACUUUUCAAAUGCGAUUUCUCUGUGAUGUUGUUUGGCAAAGUGCAAAUUGUAGGUGGAAUAAUGCUUUUUUAAUUUGGUACAUUGAUUGGGUGAAAGUGAAUGGGGUUGACGAACUGUAGGGUAGCAAAGCAACGAGAGUUCAACCUCUUGAUUUAUUCUUUUGAUCAAACUCUGGUAUGUGUGUGGCUUUAUCUCAAAAGUGGCUCUCAACCGCAUUCCAUUUAUUUUCUUCAAUCACACUGGCCCUCAAUUUAAGUUUCUUCAAUUGGAAAAUUUGGCUAUAUUGAGAGGAACAUUUAAUAAAUUCACAAGAAAACUCCGGUAAAGUGGAAUGAUUCGAUGGCUCUAAUAGAAUUCAUGAAUUAUUUUCAAAGACGUUUGAAUUGGAAUUCUAAAAGGUGCAAAUUAAUCAUAAAAGUUUCAAAAUGUUGAACUUUGUCGUAAAAGACUGAAGAAUUACAAAGUUAGUCUCUCACGUCUCUCAAGAAGUUCCAAGAAAAUCAUGUGCAGAAUUGUUUGUACAUAAUAUAGAUCUAUGUCCUAUAUCGCGAAUUAUUAAGUCUUAGAAAACUUUAAGUUCAAACAUCUAAUGCUGAAUAUUUUAAUAGGAAAAAUGAAUAAAUAAGAAGAGAAAACUCCUUUGAAAGCUCGCUUGAAACUUAGGUUCCUCAUGAUAAAUCCUUGAAAUGAAAGAAACCAAAGUUUGCCAAGAAGCUAAAUACGGAUAAAACGUUAAAAUCAUAACGGAAAAUUCUCAGAAUAUUUUAAGAAUGUUCUUUGUCAAAUUUCUAAGCUCUUAUUGAAAAUAUAUCAAGAAUUGACUUAAAAAGCUUCAUAAAUUUAUAAUUUUGCCACUCUGCAUAACACCGUAAUUUCUACCUUUGUUUGAUUAAUCUUCCCAUUAAAUCCAUUAAUCUAAUAUUAGGUAGGUACAUAAAAUAUAGGUAAUAUAUUGACAUCCUUAAGGAUACCUAACUUUUGCUUCAAUAUCCCAAUACGCACAUAAAUACACAGCAUAUAAAUAUAAAAUAUAGCAAUAUCAUAAAUUCCAUAUAUGUAGUUUUGGAAAUUUCAAUUAGUCCUAAAUUAAUCCCCAACUUAUACAGCAUAGAAUUAUUAUGUUUCCUCUUACACAGCUAAAAGGGGUUUUAGUUGACAUUAAAGGGAAAACCUAUGCGAGGAAAGGGAGCGUAAAUGAAUUCCUUUACAUUUUGCACGAGAAUUACAAAUUACACAUGACAAACUCACAGGUCGGGUUGAAUUUACUUUCGCCCCCCCACCCACCAACUGUUUGAUUUUGAUGUGCGGCGCUCCCCUUCAUUUUGGGGACGAAGCUGUGUAUUAGAGGGUUGGAGGGUUAAUUCCCGAUUAUUGCAAUAUAUACUGCUUCGUCCUGGCGAGCACCACGAUAGCGACCGGCCGUAAAUCUGCCGUCAAGCGCGCGCGGGGGGUGAAUACGGCAACACUGCAAAGCUCGCUUGGAAGCUUGGUAAAAAGCCACGGUGGCUGCUGGUGGAAAUUGAAUGAGAUAUAUACGGCAUCUAAGUCGAGCGCAAUUAGAAAUGGGUCUUGGUCGUGAAAUUUACUACUUCAAAGGAGUAUACUCCACAAGACAAAGUUUUCCUCCCUUCAAUAAAUAUUAUAUACAAACAUAUACAACAUACAUACAUAGUAUAGGAGCGACAUGGGAAAAGCCAAAAAGCCCCAUUUCUCAUUUGGUGUUUAAUAUUGCAAAUGGAGAGGUACUCUAGAGAUAGAUUGACAAUAAAUUUCUAUAUAUUGAGAGUAAAGAUAGUUUCUAUGAAACAAUCCCUAAAGGACUUUCUCUGACCGUAUAGAGCUUUUGUUCUUCCUAUAUAUUGUUUCUCGGAAGGAAGAGGAUGUAAUUGGAAGUGAAAUUACCAUUUAGAGAAUCAAUUGCAUCGCCUCUUCUGUAUCACUUGCCCCCAUACCAGAGUAUCCAAAUUGCUCCUUAAUGGGGAAAAUGUUCAAUGAAAAUCUUCCCUCACCCAAAUGAAUUGGAAAAGCCUUUUGAAAUGGAUAAAUUUGUGGUCUUCCUCACUGCGAAAUGUGCUGCAAUUUGAUUCAUGUGGAUUUAGAAAUCAAUUGGAUUGAUUCAAAAGGAUAAUUUAUCCAUAUUCUUUGUGUUAAAAUGUAGGAAUGAAUCCUCUUUCGAAUGAUUAUGUGGAUUUCUUUCUCUUACAAUUAAUUAAUGUGAAUCUCAAAGCUUUUAAAAGCUCACUCUCUUAUAAUCCAUGAAAAUUCAUUAUCUUCUCUCUCAAUUGGGUAAAUUAAAUCAUUUUUCCUCUCAAAAUGUGUUUUAAUAAAUCACACACACACACACACAAAUUGCAAUGCUCAUUUAUUCUUUUUAUGCUAGGUUCACAGGCAAAAGGUCAGUUAAAAGACAUCAAACUCCUACGAAUCCUGUGCAAAUUUAAUUCGGUAGUGCUAAGUAAAUGUUUUAUUAUAAAAUUGUUACAAUUUUAAAUCCUCUGGUCUCUCCCACCCCCAACGAACACCCUUAAAAAUUUUCCAUAAACCAACUGUAAUAUGAAAGCAUUUAAUUAUUCAUUUGAAGUAUGUUUAUUUACCUCUCAUUUUGCUCUGCAAAUAAUUCCAAAAAUAAAGUUUCAAAAUGUGUGUAGUGUGAUUUUCUGGGGAGCCACACCCCGCCCUCAAGGUCCAUAGAAAAUGUGAAACAACAUUUCCCCGGCGUAGGGGGCUUAUUCUCUCUCCUGGAAAAUGUUUUCAACGUAGAAAACACUCCCCACACCCGCCUAAGUUUGAAUUUCCACCUGCCUCAUCUUGAGCAGGUUCCCUUGAUUGAAGAUUUCUUUCGGAAGAAGGAAGUUUUUGGAACACACAGACCCAUUUGCCGAAAAUGCCCUUUAUUCGCUUACGGGCAUUAAGUUAUUCCACACCGCAUUGCCGCACGCACCCUCCACCCUGCAAGAGAAAGCUUUUGAAUUAAAGAUCAAUCGGAGCGAUAACGCACACAAAAGUAAAUUAAAGUUUAUGGUGAACAAAGAGCCCCUCAAAAGUUCAUCUCAACUGAAUCUCAACAGACCAGCAAACAAUACCACCAAGAGGGAAUAUAGGAGACGGGUCAUGUAUAUAAAUUUGAGACUCAACCACAAAGGGAGAUCUUUUGGUUUUCACCGCAAAACACACUCCUCAAAAGAAAUGGAAGGACGGGGGAGGGAGAAAAAAGGCCAAGAAAGUGGGUGGGAAAUGAACGAGGGGGUGGUAGCUACUCUGCCAUGGGGAAUCCAUAGGGAGAAGACCAUCCAGUAAUGUAUAGUCACAAAAAUCCCAGAGAAUCAACUUGCACGACACAACAUCUACAUUACCGCCGGGUUCGUCCCUUUCUUCAUAAACAACACCCUGUGGUGGGACAAAAAAUUCGCCACCAAGCUGAAAAUCACUUUUCACCGAGGGGGUGGGAAAUUUAUCUGUGUAUGUAGGAGAGAUGAGAUUGCAAGGUGCCUGAGAAAUUGAUGAGGUACAAAUACAGAGUUGAUUUUUUGUUGUACUUUUUUGCUAAUUAAUUAUUCGUUAAAAUAUUUUUACAAAAUGAAUCCCUAAUUUUCAUUUUACGGAUUUUUCUUUGAAUUCUUUAAAAGAUUAAUAAGAGUUAUAGACCAAGAAAAUUAACAUGUUUUCUAACCUCAACCUCAAAAUAAUUAAUUGGAUACAUGUAGUCUCAAUUUUUUCAGGAAAGCCCCAAAAUUUGAUUCUGAUUGAUUUCCCGUUGAAAUUGGGGUCAUACAGGUUGAGCUAACUGAGCAUUCCCAUUUUCAUUUUCCGAUAUAUUUUUCCAAGAAUUUGAAUAAAAUUGAACAGGUAGCGCCACGAGUGGCCACAAAAAUAAUUUCAAGUU
Lutzomyia longipalpis is the source of this 4042-nucleotide long non-coding RNA. RefSeq lists it as uncharacterized. The record is from RefSeq and is a predicted model, not a curated record. Lineage: Eukaryota; Metazoa; Arthropoda; Insecta; Diptera; Psychodidae. The transcript is spliced from 3 exons.